ACUCCUGGGAGGCAGCAGUGGGGAAUUUUGCGCAAUGGGGGAAACCCUGACGCAGCAACGCCGCGUGGGUGAUGAAGGCCUUCGGGUCGUAAAGCUCUGUCUGGAGGGAAGAAAUGAUUGGGAGCUAAUACCUCUUGAUCCUGACGGUACCUCUGAAGGAAGCACCGGCUAACUCCGUGCCAGCAGCCGCGGUAAU
This 196-nucleotide ribosomal RNA is filed under the name uncultured bacterium. RNAcentral describes it as "partial 16S ribosomal RNA". It matches the Rfam family "Bacterial small subunit ribosomal RNA", at positions 335 to 524 of the family's 1533-position model. The record is from RNAcentral.